CCUACGGGUGGCAGCAGUGAGGAAUAUUGGUCAAUGGGCGCUAGCCUGAACCAGCCAAGUAGCGUGAAGGAAGACUGCCCUAUGGAUUGUAAACUUCUUUUGUCUGGGAGUAAAGUGCAGUAUGCAUACUGCUUUGCGUGUACCUGAUGAAUAAGCAUCGGCUAACUCCGUGCCAGCAGCCGCGGUAAUACGGAGGAUGCGAGCGUUAUCCGGAUUUAUUGGGUUUAAAGGGUGCGCAGGCGGUAGGUAAAGUCAGCGGUAAAAGCCCGGGGCUCAACCUCGGCGCGCCGUUGAAACUGGCAGUCUCGAGUGGGAGAGAAGUAUGCGGAAUGCGCGGUGUAGCGGUGAAAUGCAUAGAUAUCGCGCAGAACUCCGAUUGCGAAGGCAGCAUGCCGGCGCCACACUGACGCUGAGGCACGAAAGCGUGGGUAUCGAACAGGAUUAGAUACCCCGGUAGUC
This 459-nucleotide ribosomal RNA is filed under the name uncultured bacterium. Its description in RNAcentral is "partial 16S ribosomal RNA". It matches the Rfam family "Bacterial small subunit ribosomal RNA", at positions 338 to 795 of the family's 1533-position model. The record is from RNAcentral.